Molecule: ribosomal RNA, 1512 nt
Filed under: Cutibacterium acnes
Lineage: Bacteria; Bacillati; Actinomycetota; Actinomycetes; Propionibacteriales; Propionibacteriaceae
Description: partial 16S ribosomal RNA
Rfam family: Bacterial small subunit ribosomal RNA
Source: RNAcentral
UCCUGGCUCAGGACGAACGCUGGCGGCGUGCUUAACACAUGCAAGUCGAACGGAAAGGCCCUGCUUUUGUGGGGUGCUCGAGUGGCGAACGGGUGAGUAACACGUGAGUAACCUGCCCUUGACUUUGGGAUAACUUCAGGAAACUGGGGCUAAUACCGGAUAGGAGCUCCUGCUGCAUGGUGGGGGUUGGAAAGUUUCGGCGGUUGGGGAUGGACUCGCGGCUUAUCAGCUUGUUGGUGGGGUAGUGGCUUACCAAGGCUUUGACGGGUAGCCGGCCUGAGAGGGUGACCGGCCACAUUGGGACUGAGAUACGGCCCAGACUCCUACGGGAGGCAGCAGUGGGGAAUAUUGCACAAUGGGCGGAAGCCUGAUGCAGCAACGCAGCGUGCGGGAUGACGGCCUUCGGGUUGUAAACCGCUUUCGCCUGUGACGAAGCGUGAGUGACGGUAAUGGGUAAAGAAGCACCGGCUAACUACGUGCCAGCAGCCGCGGUGAUACGUAGGGUGCGAGCGUUGUCCGGAUUUAUUGGGCGUAAAGGGCUCGUAGGUGGUUGAUCGCGUCGGAAGUGUAAUCUUGGGGCUUAACCCUGAGCGUGCUUUCGAUACGGGUUGACUUGAGGAAGGUAGGGGAGAAUGGAAUUGCUGGUGGAGCGGUGGAAUGCGCAGAUAUCAGGAGGAACACCAGUGGCGAAGGCGGUUCUCUGGGCCUUUCCUGACGCUGAGGAGCGAAAGCGUGGGGAGCGAACAGGCUUAGAUACCCUGGUAGUCCUCGCUGUAAACGGUGGGUACUAGGUGUGGGGUCCAUUCCACGGGUUCCGUGCCGUAGCUAACGCUUUAAGUACCCCGCCUGGGGAGUACGGCCGCAAGGCUAAAACUCAAAGGAAUUGACGGGGCCCCGCACAAGCGGCGGAGCAUGCGGAUUAAUUCGAUGCAACGCGUAGAACCUUACCUGGGUUUGACAUGGAUCGGGAGUGCUCAGAGAUGGGUGUGCCUCUUUUGGGGUCGGUUCACAGGUGGUGCAUGGCUGUCGUCAGCUCGUGUCGUGAGAUGUUGGGUUAAGUCCCGCAACGAGCGCAACCCUUGUUCACUGUUGCCAGCACGUUAUGGUGGGGACUCAGUGGAGACCGCCGGGGUCAACUCGGAGGAAGGUGGGGAUGACGUCAAGUCAUCAUGCCCCUUAUGUCCAGGGCUUCACGCAUGCUACAAUGGCUGGUACAGAGAGUGGCGAGCCUGUGAGGGUGAGCGAAUCUCGGAAAGCCCGUCUCAGUUCGGAUUGGGGUCUGCAACUCGACCUCAUGAAGUCGGAGUCGCUAGUAAUCGCAGAUCAGCAACGCUGCGGUGAAUACGUUCCCGGGGCUUGUACACACCGCCCGUCAAGUCAUGAAAGUUGGUAACACCCGAAGCCGGUGGCCUAACCGUUGUGGGGGAGCCGUCGAAGGUGGGACUGGUGAUUAGGACUAAGUCGUAACAAGGUAGCCGUACCGGAAGGUGCGGCUGGAUCACCUCCUUUCUA